This is a long non-coding RNA of Canis lupus familiaris (dog), 463 nucleotides long. RefSeq lists it as uncharacterized. The transcript has 3 exons. The record is from RefSeq and is a predicted model, not a curated record. NCBI's taxonomy places the organism in Eukaryota, Metazoa, Chordata, Mammalia, Carnivora, Canidae.
AGCGCUCCACGCGAGGGACCCGGUCUAAGAGGUCUGAGUAUUUUUUUUUUAAGAUUUUAUUUAUUUAUUCAUGAUAGAGAGAGAGAGAGAGGCAGAGACACAGGCAGAGGGAGAAGCAGGCUCCAUGCAGGGAGCCGGGCGUGGGACUCGAUCCCGGGUCUCCAGGAUCACGCCCUGGGCCAAAGGCAGGCGCUAAGCCACCGAGCCUCCCAGGGAUCCCCUAAGAGGCCUUAAUGUCUAACGCUUCCAGGUGAUGCCGAGAGGCGCUGAGAGGAAAUGGAUCUCCUUUGUACUUCUCUACAAUCCCAUUCCCCUCUUUUCGUCUUGGAUGGAGGUUAUUUGGGCGCUUUCAACGUUUUCUAUUAUAAACAGUGGCGGAUUUACCAUGAAGCUAAUGAAAGGUAAACUCAGAGCCCCUCAUUUGCAUUUAUGUGUCUCCCUGUCCCUGGCCCCUACCUCCCCC